CGCUGGCGGCGUGCUUAACACAUGCAAGUCGAACGCGAAAGGGGCUUCGGUCCUGAGUAAAGUGGCGCACGGGUGAGUAACGCGUAGAUAACCUGUCUUCGUGUCUGGAAUAAUACGCCGAAAGGGGUACUAAUACCGGAUAUUCUUGCUUUAUAUAAGUUUGACAAGCAAAGGUGGCCUCUGAUUUAAGCUACUGCAUGAANAGGGGUCUGCGUACCAUUAGCUAGUAGGUGGGGUAAUGGCCCACCUAGGCGACGAUGGUUAGCGGGUCUGAGAGGAUGAUCCGCCACACUGGCACUGGAACACGGGCCAGACUCCUACGGGAGGCAGCAGUGAGGAAUAUUGCGCAAUGGGGGCAACCCUGACGCAGCGACGCCGCGUGAGUGAGGAAGGCCUUCGGGUCGUAAAGCUCUGUCAAAGGGAAAGAAGUGCAUGAUGGUUAAUACCUGUCAUGUUUGACGGUACCCUUAAAGGAAGCACCGGCUAACUCCGUG
RNAcentral lists this ribosomal RNA (494 nucleotides) under uncultured bacterium. RNAcentral describes it as "bacterial SSU rRNA". It matches the Rfam family "Bacterial small subunit ribosomal RNA", at positions 34 to 507 of the family's 1533-position model. The record is from RNAcentral.